CUAGGUACCACAAAGUCAACAAACAGACGCCUGAAAUUGCGCAAACCAUUUUGGGACGAUGAUUUACAAAGUCUUUGGGAUAUUAUGAGAAAUAAAGAAGUAGUUUUCCUUCAAUGUAAAGAUAGUAGACAGAGACGCUUAAAGCUUCGACACGAGUAUGUUUUGUCUAGAAAUGAAUUUGAUAAACUGCUACGCAGGACGGAACGAUACUAUAAACGAAUCACUGCAAUUGACAUUGAGGAAAUGACAACCAAAAAUCCGAACGAAUUCUGGAAAAGAUACAAAAUCUAGGACCCAGAAAAGACAAUUCCAACCCAAUCGAAAUCGUUGACGAAAGGGGAAAUAUCUCGCACGAAGAGAACAUUGUUUUCGAGAAGUGGAAGAAUGACUUUUACAACUUGUAUAACUGCAAUGAGCACAAUGAUUUUGACGAUGAGCAUUUUGACAGAGCGAAAUUACAUAAGGUGUUAUUAGAAAACAAUAUGUCAGACCCAUUGUACGAACCUAACGCUGAGCUAAAUUCAAAUGUGACUAUCGAGGAAGUGGCUUUAAUAGUGCAGAGAUCGAAAAGUGGGUCAGCUUGCGGCAUUCGCCUUAUUCCAGAAGCCCAUAAUGCUUUGCGACAAAGGUGACUUCCGGUUUUUUUCCGCAUUCAAUUUCCUAGUUAUCGAUACGAGUGAAAGGAAGAGCAUAAUUGGCAAAAUAGAUCGAUAGAGAUGUACAUUCUGGAUGUUUGAUUCCGCCAAGUUGAUGCUCAACAGGAGUAGGCAGUUGAUACCAUUGAUCUGAUAGCACCUGCUAUAUCAGUGGUUUUACAAGAAAAAUUUGUGCAAAACACAAGAGACGGAAUCGGUUCAAGAACAGAGAUAAAAUAAAUGAAGUGUGUCAAUAUAAAUGAAAACUUUCCUUGACUGCAAGGACUAAAGAAAUGCACACAAGUGACAUAAAUUUAAAUGUUUGGUACAAAAAGUAGACAUUUAGAACUUAAAAUUAUGACACAGGAUGUGAAACAACACUUUAUAGCCGAUAACAGUCGAACAAGAGAUUUUUCAAAAAGAAGCAAGAUGUGGUUUUUUAACCCUUGGCAACUGAACCUUUAAAGGGAUUAUUGCAUACCAAGGACAAUUUAUUGUUAUUGAAUUAUAUCAUGUUUAAUGUUAUUAUUAAAUUGUAAAAAAUACCGUUGUUAUUAAUAUGAUUGUCUAUGAUCUUUUUAUUCCAAUGACUGUGUAAACUCCCAUGGUUAAUAUUAAAAAGACAUAAAAUCGA
Mya arenaria is the source of this 1269-nucleotide long non-coding RNA. RefSeq lists it as uncharacterized. The record is from RefSeq and is a predicted model, not a curated record. The transcript has 2 exons. NCBI's taxonomy places the organism in Eukaryota, Metazoa, Mollusca, Bivalvia, Myida, Myidae.